AAGAGUUAUUACAACUCCCAAACCCAUGUGAACCUACCUUUGUUGCCUCGGCAGGUCUGCAGCUUACCCUGUGAGACCCUACCCUGUAGGGACCUUACCUAGUAGUUGCGGGUAAAACCUGCCGGUGGUCUACUAAACUCUGUUUACCAUGUUAUUCUGAAUAAUUAUAACUAAAUAAGUUA
Molecule: unclassified non-coding RNA, 182 nt
Filed under: uncultured Xylariaceae
Lineage: Eukaryota; Fungi; Ascomycota; Sordariomycetes; Xylariales; Xylariaceae
Description: sequence contains ITS1
Source: RNAcentral